AAACUUAAAUGAAUUGACGGGACCGCACAAGCAGCGGAGCGUGUGGUUUAAUUCGUUGCUACACGAAGAACCUUACCUGGGUUUGACAUAUGGGUUGUAGGGAACUGAAAGGGACCGACCCUUCGGGGAGCCUAUACAGGUGUUGCAUGGCUGUCGUCAGCUCGUGUCGUGAGAUGUUCGGUUAAGUCCGCUAACGAGCGCAACCCUCGUCGUAUGUUAUAUGUGUCAUACGAGACUGCCGGUAAAAAGCCGGAGGAAGGUGAGGAUGAUGUCAAGUCAGCAUGACCUUUAUAUCCAGGGCUACACACACGCUACAAUGGUCUGUACAAUGGGUAGCCAAGCCGCGAGGCGGAGCCAAUCCUGAAAGCAGGCCUCAGUUCAGAUUGCAGUCUGCAACUCGACUGCAUGAAGCCGGAGUUGCUAGUAAACGCAGGUCAGCCAUACUGCGUUGAAUACGUUCCCGGGGCUU
RNAcentral lists this ribosomal RNA (469 nucleotides) under uncultured Anaerolineaceae bacterium. RNAcentral's name for it is "bacterial SSU rRNA". It matches the Rfam family "Bacterial small subunit ribosomal RNA", at positions 897 to 1382 of the family's 1533-position model. Lineage: Bacteria; Bacillati; Chloroflexota; Anaerolineae; Anaerolineales; Anaerolineaceae. The record is from RNAcentral.